Molecule: ribosomal RNA, 253 nt
Filed under: uncultured bacterium
Lineage: Bacteria
Description: partial 16S ribosomal RNA
Rfam family: Bacterial small subunit ribosomal RNA
Source: RNAcentral
GACAGAGGGGGCAAGCGUUGCUCGGAAUCACUGGGCGUAAAGGGCGCGUAGGCGGGAUGGCAAGUCAGUCGUGAAAUCUCUCGGCUCAACCGAGAAACGUCGGCUGAUACUGCCGUUCUUGAGGGAUGCAGAGGAGACUGGAAUUCCCGGUGUAGCGGUGAAAUGUGUAGAGAUCGGGAGGAACACCGGUGGCGAAGGCGGGUCUCUGGGCAUCUCCUGACGCUGAGGCGCGAAAGCGUGGGGAUCAAACAGG